UACGUAGGGUGCGAGCGUUGUCCGGAAUUAUUGGGCGUAAAGAGCUUGUAGGUGGUUUGUCGCGUCUGCUGUGAAAAUCCGACGGCUCAACCUCGGACUUGCAGUGGGUACGGGCAGACUAGAUGUGGUAGGGGAGACUGGAAGUUCCUGGUGUAGCGGUGGAAUGACGCAGAUAUCAGGAGGAACGACCGAUGGCGAAGGCAGGUCUCUGGGCCAUUACUGACACUGAGAAGCGGAAAAGCAUGGGGAGCGAACAGG
Molecule: ribosomal RNA, 258 nt
Filed under: uncultured bacterium
Lineage: Bacteria
Description: partial 16S ribosomal RNA
Rfam family: Bacterial small subunit ribosomal RNA
Source: RNAcentral